Molecule: ribosomal RNA, 495 nt
Filed under: uncultured bacterium
Lineage: Bacteria
Description: SSU rRNA
Rfam family: Bacterial small subunit ribosomal RNA
Source: RNAcentral
AGGACGAACGCUGGCGGCGUGCUUAACACAUGCAAGUGGAGCGACGAACCAGGGCUUGCCCUGGGGCAGAGCCGCGAACGGGUGAGUAACACGUGGGUUACCUGCCUCGAUGACCGGGACAACCCGAGGAAACUCGGGCUAAUACCGGAUGUGCCCGCAAGGGGAAAGGAAGCUUCGGCCUCCGCAUCGAGAUGGGCCCGCGGCCCAUUAGCUUGUUGGUGAGGUAACGGCUCACCAAGGCUUCGAUGGGUAGCUGGUCUGAGAGGACGAUCAGCCACACUGGGACUGAGACACGGCCCAGACUCCUACGGGAGGCAGCAGUGGGGAAUCUUGCGCAAUGCGCGAAAGCGUGACGCAGCAACGCCGCGUGGGGGAAGAAGGCCUUCGGGUUGUAAACCCCUUUCAGUUGGGACGAAGCUUCUCCGGUGAAUAGCCGGACGGAGUGACGGUACCUUCAGAAGAAGCCCCGGCUAACUACGUGCCAGCAGCCGCGGU